This 189-nucleotide ribosomal RNA is filed under the name uncultured Chlamydiales bacterium. Its description in RNAcentral is "partial 16S ribosomal RNA". It matches the Rfam family "Bacterial small subunit ribosomal RNA", at positions 305 to 487 of the family's 1533-position model. The record is from RNAcentral. Lineage: Bacteria; Pseudomonadati; Chlamydiota; Chlamydiia; Chlamydiales.
CGCCAACACUGGGACUGAGAACUGCCCAGACUCCUACGGGAGGCUGCAGUCGAGAAUCAUUCGCAAUGGGCGAAAGCCUGACGAUGCGACGCUGUGUGUGUGAUGAAGGCCUUCGGGUCGUAAAGCACUUUCGCUUGGGAACAAGAGAGGUCGGAUAAUACCCGGCUAAUUUGAGGGUACCAGGUAAAG